Molecule: long non-coding RNA, 722 nt
Organism: Polypterus senegalus (gray bichir)
Lineage: Eukaryota; Metazoa; Chordata; Cladistia; Polypteriformes; Polypteridae
Exons: 3
Source: RefSeq, a predicted model, not a curated record
AACAAUCAAAUGGUGUCGGCGCCGUCACACUCUGAAGUUGAUGACGCGUUUUUGUAUUUGUGUCUGUCAAAGUCACCUGCGAUCUCAUAACCUGCCCGGUCAAUUGUAAUAACCUGAAGGUGCCGUUCAACGUGCGGACCAAACCUGCGCUCCGCCUUCACCCCCCACCUCCCCGCAGUGCGCGUUCCCGCUGAUCUCAAAGCGCAGCACCGGACUAAACCAGUCGGGCACUCCGUGAAGCGCGCUUGUCACACUGAGACUUAGCGGAGUGAGCGUCACGUGAAUAGCCGUCUGCUUCCAGUCGAGGCUCAGUCGGUGCUGCGAUCUCAAAGUGUCCGCCAUUAACACAAGACGGGCUGAGACAGUCCACGGUUAUGUGCGCACACUCGGGAGAUUUAAGGAGCGCCGAGAAACGAUAAAGGAGAACAUCAGUGAUGGAGACACCGAGGAGAGAGCGACAUCUACAGAGUUUGCCUUUUGUGCUGGUGAAGUGAUUGUUACCUCAUGCCCACUCACAUGGACAUCCCACUACAGUCCUGAAUUUCCACCAUUUGUAGAUAUUUUAUUCUUACCAUGGAUUGAUGAACACCCAGGUCUUCAGCAAUGCCUGUGUAGCCUUUUCCAAGUUCCUGCAUUUCUAUGAUGAGUCUUCUAAGUUCCUGUGACAUUUGUUUGGAUUGAGACUGAUGAUGACUGAAGCCCAGCUGUUUGUUUCACAGGAC